GGGCCCGCACAAGCGGUGGAGCAUGUGGUUUAAUUCGAUGAUACGCGAGGAACCUUACCAGGGCUUAAAUGUAAGUUGCAUAGAUCAGAGAUGGUCUUUUCUUCGGACUACUUACAAGGUGCUGCAUGGUUGUCGUCAGCUCGUGCCGUGAGGUGUCAGGUUAAGUCCUAUAACGAGCGCAACCCCUGUCGUUAGUUGCCAGCAAGUAAUGUUGGGCACUCUAGCGAGACUGCCGGUGCAAACCGCGAGGAAGGUGGGGAUGACGUCAAAUCAUCACGGCCCUUACGUCCUGGGCUACACACGUGCUACAAUGGUCGGUACAGAGAGCAGCCACUACGCGAGUAGGAGCGAAUCUAUAAAACCGAUCUCAGUUCGGAUCGCAGUCUGCAACUCGACUGCGUGAAGCUGGAAUC
Molecule: ribosomal RNA, 413 nt
Filed under: uncultured bacterium
Lineage: Bacteria
Description: bacterial SSU rRNA
Rfam family: Bacterial small subunit ribosomal RNA
Source: RNAcentral